ACGCGCUGUCUUUGAGCCCCCGCCGCGCCUCCGAGUAGCGCCGGGGGUCAAUCUGCAGCGCCAGAGCACGUGCUUGCGCAUAACUGGGGCCGCGUGGCCCCCCCCGCCGGCGGCCCUUUUAACCGCGAGCUACAAUA
Molecule: small nucleolar RNA, 137 nt
Organism: Saimiri boliviensis boliviensis (Bolivian squirrel monkey)
Lineage: Eukaryota; Metazoa; Chordata; Mammalia; Primates; Cebidae
Source: Ensembl